This 825-nucleotide long non-coding RNA is filed under the name Mytilus galloprovincialis (Mediterranean mussel). Lineage: Eukaryota; Metazoa; Mollusca; Bivalvia; Mytilida; Mytilidae. The record is from RNAcentral.
CUCACUUAAUUUUCCGUUUUAUUAAAAAUCUUCAUUACAGUAGAAAACAACGAGAGCAAAUGCGCAAUGAUUUAUUAUUGCAUUAGAAUGCAACACAAACUUUUCCGAGAUUUUGUCAUUCAGGAUAGAAAACUCAAAGUCUGGUUUUACUUGAGAAAGAUGAAGAAAAAAAAUGGUUUCUUGAGAAAAAUAAGAUACGGCGUAAACUAACAUUAAUCAUGCAUCUAGCUUUGCGUUGAAGUGCUAAUAUAUACAGUAGCUCUUUAAAUGAAUACGACCUUUAACCGGUAAACAAUGUAAAACAAAAGAUGACACAGUAUUCAGAUUUGUGCGUUUUUCGAUUUACGAAUAAGUCAAUAAGAUAAAAAAGUAAUUGAAGCAAAAAAAAAAAGAUACAUGAAAUAAUGAAUUAACAUAAGUUUACAAAUACAUACCUAGGAGCAUUUAAUAAACAAUUUGAAAUUAUUAAUACAUUUUUUUUACAUAUUAUUGUAAUUUAUGUUUAUGUUCCCGAUAUGGAGUUCUUCUAAAAUUAAAAAUCACUUGAAUGGGUAUUUCUGGUGUAUAUACAUGUAUCACACGUGUUAUCUACAUGUACAAUAUACGGAAAUGACACGGCUGGGUAUUGUAAAGUUACUGAAUGAAGAUUACUGUCAGGUGUAUAUCCCCGGGCGAAGAAUUUACUGGUUUGUCAAAACGGUUAGGUGUAAUUUGUCAUAUUGUAAAGGUUUGAAUCGCGCUCAUCUCUUCUUUUUUAUAAUAUGAAAUGCGCCAAUAAAUGGAACUUGACACAUUCCCCAUUGCCAUUCUCAAUAUUAUUAAUUG